This 234-nucleotide unclassified non-coding RNA is filed under the name Hevea brasiliensis (rubber tree). The record is from RNAcentral. Lineage: Eukaryota; Viridiplantae; Streptophyta; Magnoliopsida; Malpighiales; Euphorbiaceae.
AGAGAGAGAGAGAGAGAGGGGAAGGGGGGUUGUGUGGUGGGGUGGGGGAAGAUAAAGAAAGAAAGAAGAGAAGGUGCUGUUCCAUCCACAAUAUAGACCCAAAGUUUCGGCUUUCCUACCAUCAUAUCCAUGCCCCAUCCUACCAAGAAACAGGAAGGAAGAAACCAAAAAGCAAAGAAACAGGAAGGAAGAAACCAAAAAGCAAAGAAACAGGAAGGAAGAAACCAAAAAGCA